RNAcentral lists this transfer RNA (66 nucleotides) under human gut metagenome. It matches the Rfam family "tRNA". From Rfam's summary of the family: Transfer RNA (tRNA) molecules are approximately 80 nucleotides in length. Their secondary structure includes four short double-helical elements and three loops (D, anti-codon, and T loops). The record is from RNAcentral. RNAcentral also lists the same sequence under 1 other name.
GGCUUAGCUCAGUUGGUAGAGCAGUUGAUUUGUAAUCAUCUGGUCGUAGGUUCAAGUCCUAUAGCC